RNAcentral lists this ribosomal RNA (274 nucleotides) under uncultured bacterium. RNAcentral's name for it is "partial 16S ribosomal RNA". It matches the Rfam family "Bacterial small subunit ribosomal RNA", at positions 523 to 796 of the family's 1533-position model. The record is from RNAcentral.
AUACGGAGGGUGCAAGCGUUACUCGGAAUCACUGGGCGUAAAGCGCGCGCAGGCGGUCUUUUAAGUUGGAUGUGAAAGCCUACGGCUCAACCGUAGAACUGCAUCCAAAACUAUUAGACUAGAGUGUGGGAGAGGAAGAUGGAAUUAGUUGUGUAGGGGUAAAAUCCGUAGAGAUAACUAGGAAUACCAAAAGCGAAGGCAAUCUUCUGGAACACUACUGACGCUGAGGCGCGAAAGCAUGGGGAGCAAACAGGAUUAGAAACCCUAGUAGUCC